UACAGAGGGGGCAAGCGUUAUUCGGAAUUAUUGGGCGUAAAGGGCGCGUAGGCGGCCUGGCAAGUGACGGGUGAAAGCCCUCGGCUCAACCGAGGAACUGCCUGUCAUACUGCCGGGCUAGAGUCCGGAAGAGGAGAGUGGAAUUCCUGGUGUAGCGGUGAAAUGCGCAGAUAUCAGGAAGAACACCAAUGGCGAAAGCAGCUCUCUGGGACGGUACUGACGCUGAGACGCGAAAGCGUGGGGAGCGAACAGG
This 253-nucleotide ribosomal RNA is filed under the name uncultured bacterium. RNAcentral's name for it is "partial 16S ribosomal RNA". It matches the Rfam family "Bacterial small subunit ribosomal RNA", at positions 524 to 776 of the family's 1533-position model. The record is from RNAcentral.